UACCAGCACCCCGAGUGGUCGGGACGAUUAUUGGGCCUAAAGCAUCCGUAGGCGGUUCUGCAAGUCUCCCGUUAAAUCCAACUGCUCAACAGGUGGGCUGCGGAGGAUACUACAGAGCUAGGAGGCAGGAGAGGCAAGCGGUACUCAGUGGGUAGGGGUAAAAUCCGUUGAUCCAUUGAAGACCACCAGUGGCGAAGGCGGCUUGCCAGAAUGCGCUCGACGGUGAGGGAUGAAAGCUGGGGGAGCAAACCGG
RNAcentral lists this ribosomal RNA (253 nucleotides) under uncultured bacterium. RNAcentral's name for it is "partial 16S ribosomal RNA". It matches the Rfam family "Archaeal small subunit ribosomal RNA", at positions 474 to 727 of the family's 1478-position model. The record is from RNAcentral.